Molecule: ribosomal RNA, 696 nt
Filed under: Thermosporothrix hazakensis
Lineage: Bacteria; Bacillati; Chloroflexota; Ktedonobacteria; Ktedonobacterales; Thermosporotrichaceae
Description: bacterial SSU rRNA
Rfam family: Bacterial small subunit ribosomal RNA
Source: RNAcentral
CAGCGCCCUGGAGAGUACCUGACGCUCAGAUGCGAAAGCUAGGGGAGCGAACGGGAUUAGAUACCCCGGUAGUCCUAGCCGUAAACGAUGACCACUAGAUGUCCGGAGUAUCGACCCUUCGGGUAUCGGAGCUAACGCGUUAAGUGGUCCGCCUGGGGAGUACGGUCGCAAGAUUAAAACUCAAAGGAAUUGACGGGGACCCGCACAAGCAGCGGAGCGUGUGGUUUAAUUCGAUGCAACGCGAAGAACCUUACCAGGUCUUGACAUCACACUGACAGCUCUAGAGAUAGGGUCUUCCUUCGGGACAGUGUGACAGGUGCUGCAUGGCUGUCGUCAGCUCGUGUCGUGAGAUGUUGGGUUAAGUCCCGCAACGAGCGCAACCCUCGUCGCUAGUUGAAUGUUCUAGCGAGACCGCCGUUACAAAGCGGAGGAAGGUGGGGAUGACGUCAAGUCAGCACGGCCCUUACGACCUGGGCGACACACACGCUACAAUGGCCGGGACAAAGGGCAGCCAACCCGCGAGGGGGAGCCAAUCCCAUCAAACCCGGUCUCAGUUCAGAUUGCAGGCUGCAACCCGCCUGCAUGAAGUCGGAGUUGCUAGUAACCGUAGGUCAGCACACUACGGUGAAUACGUUCCCGGGUCUUGUACACACCGCCCGUCACACCACGAAAGUCGGCAACACCUGAAGCCGCUGG